This 207-nucleotide ribosomal RNA is filed under the name uncultured bacterium. RNAcentral's name for it is "partial 16S ribosomal RNA". It matches the Rfam family "Bacterial small subunit ribosomal RNA", at positions 568 to 774 of the family's 1533-position model. The record is from RNAcentral.
CGUGUAGGCGGCCUGUUAAGUCUGGAGUGAAAGUCCUGCUUUUAAGGUGGGAAUUGCUUUGGAUACUGAUGGGCUUGAGUGCAGGAGAGGUUAUCGGAAUUCCCGGUGUAGCGGUGAAAUGCGUAGAGAUCGGGAGGAACACCAGUGGCGAAGGCGGGUAACUGGACUGCAACUGACGCUGAGGCGCGAAAGUGUGGGGAGCAAACA